GUAUAGUAUAAUAUAGUAUAAUGUAGUAUAGUAUAAUAUAGUAUAAUGUAGUAUAGUAUAAUAUAAUAUAAUGUAGUAUAUAUAAUAUAGUAUAAUGUAGUAUAGUAUAAUAUAGUAUAAUGUAGUAUAGUAUAAUAUAAUAUAAUGUAGUAUAUAUAAUAUAAUAUAAUGUAUUAUAGUAUAAUAUAAUAUAAUGUAGUAUAAUGUAGUAUAGUAUAAUAUAAUGUAAUAUAGUAUAAUAUAGUAUAAUAUAGUAUAGUAUAAUAUAAUAUAUGUAGUAUAGUAUAAUAUAAUGUAAUGUAGUAUAGUAUAAUAUAUUAUAGUAUGGUAAAGUAGAGGAUCGUAUAGAAGAGUAUAGUUCUAAUAAGACUAAUGAACUGUCAUACCUUAUCUAAAAUUCCUUUUGAUGUUUGGUUGUGUUGCAGGACUGAUAUCAUACCUGUCCUAAUAUUUCACUCGACACCAUGUACAGUAUUCCAUGUUGUGCUCAGUCUAGUAGUAUAGUAGAGUAUACUUUUAAUAUGACUAAUUUGCUGUCAUUUCUCUCUCGGUCCGUAGUGUUUGUCGUUUUAAUGGAACACCUGCAGGGUCAGGUGAGGUACGCUCUGAACAGGUGAGCAGUGAUGUUUCCAUGUGAUUGAUAAGAGAACGAGACUAGUACCUGAAACGUGAUCUCCUUCCCCGAUUGCGUGUCGUGGUGUCGCUGUGUGUGUUUGGGCGACGCCGUGAAUCAAAGUUAGGAAAUAUGAAGCCUUAAGUGAAAGUGUGUGUGUGUGUGUG
Molecule: long non-coding RNA, 780 nt
Organism: Ictalurus punctatus (channel catfish)
Lineage: Eukaryota; Metazoa; Chordata; Actinopteri; Siluriformes; Ictaluridae
Source: Ensembl